This is a long non-coding RNA of Bombyx mori (domestic silkworm), 1593 nucleotides long. RefSeq lists it as uncharacterized. The transcript is spliced from 2 exons. NCBI's taxonomy places the organism in Eukaryota, Metazoa, Arthropoda, Insecta, Lepidoptera, Bombycidae. The record is from RefSeq and is a predicted model, not a curated record.
UUUAAUUUUAUUAAUGGCUAAUAACUCAUUUACUUUAAACAUAAUUGACAGAGUUUCCAUUAAAUAACUGUGGGAAAUUCGCAAACCAAACAAAACUUCUUGCGUUGCUGUUUCAUCAUAUCAUAACUCAAUUUACUAAACAAACUGUAUUGACACAUAUUGACAGUAAACGUUAACUUAAUAUUUGUUUGCAAAGCCCCUUUCCGAAAGCUUUUAAUGUGUUUUUAUUAGAGCGACAACGUUGAAAGUAUAUUAAGUGUAUAAUCUAUGGUUGAAAGUAUUCCAUUGUAAAUGUAAUUUGCAUAACCGAUUUUAGUUUCUGUAUUGGCUCAUUGUUCUACAGAACAGUGGCUCGAAAAUAAUUUAGAUAGGUAUUCCGAAUUUAUUCAAAACAUUAUGUACCGGAUUAAUAUCUUGUAUAUUUUUUUGAACAGAUAAUAUUAUAAUAAAAGACGUAACAUGUCACAGUUCUGGCAGAACCUCGUAAUUUGUUCCUGUCAACGACCUGAGUGCCUAUUGAUUUGUGUACGACUCCCAAUCCAUUCCUACAAAAAUUGUUACCUAUAGUGUCCAAAUUACUAUAUAAAAUUUGUACUUUGGUUUACAAGUAAGCCUAAAAUCCCUAAAAUACUAAUGUAGUAUGGAAUUAAUUAAUCAAAAAUUUAUGACAAUUAUCUGUGGUUUAAAAAAAGUCUGACGUAAACCUAACCUAGAAUGUAAGUUUUGUGGAUCGACAGCUGAUAUUAUAGUCGAAAUAAUAAAAUCCGUACCUACAUACCUACAUAUUAUUAUGUAAUUUCCUAAAUUAGUAUGACACAUAUAAAGCAGUCGUAGAAGACUAAUGUAAAACUUCGUAACACAAUUCUGUGCUACGACGUUGUACGGUCACAAACUUUGUGACCGCGAAGUCUCGGAGGGUUAUCCAGGGAUUAAACUUAAAAAUUACGAAACUUAACGGCGUUGCUUAAAAACGAAAAUAAUGAGCGAUAUUAAAAUUGUAAGUCCUCAUUACAUAUUAAUUAGUUAACUGUAAAAUGAUAGUCACUUUUGUUUUAGUUAACAAAACAACAAAUCUGUGUCAUCAUUAAUUAAAUUAAGGCUUUUUUAUGAAAUUAACACGACAAUGUAUUAAUUGUUCGUGCAUUGGCGUCAUGAAACUCUUACUUUUAUCACAAACGUGGAAUGAUUAUUUCCUCUGAUGACCUAGGAAUAGAGUCCUGAUUCGUUUGACGGUUUCUUUCAUUCCUGUAAACGCAGUGAAUUUUCUAGAACACAAGUUAUAUUUGACUAUCCCAAAAAGUGAGACAUGUUAAGCUAACACUAGCCAAGCUAGCGGCUUAACUGUUGGAUAAUUAAAAUUUAAUGAUAUGCAUAUUUUAAACAUUAAUAUAAUCAUACUAUUACUAAUGUUUAAAAGAUGACGAUAAUUCAUUAAUAUGAACAAGUACAAGUGUUUUUUCCCCAUAGUUGUUUUAACAAAGCGUAUAAUAAAUUACUUAAUAUGGUGAUCUAUGUUUAGCUCUUUUGUGAGAUUAAUAAUAGAUAAUCAGAAAUACGUUAAAACACUAUUAAACAAUAUGGUUCUGGAAAUAA